GAGGGGAUGAAGACCUCAUCCCUGGAGGUCUUUAAAAGAUGUUUAGAUGUAGAGCUUAGUGAUAUGGUGUAGUGGAGGACUCUUAGUGUUAGGUCAGAGGUUGGACUCGAUGAUCCUUGAGGUCCAACCUAGAAAUUCUGUGAUUCUGUGAAGAAGAAUUGUGAGACCCAACAGGGCUGUGCUGGAGCAGCUCAGCCACCAGCAGUACCCAUGAGGGCCUGCUGGUGCAGGGGUCUGCAGCACCCCUGGCCUGAGCACAGCAGCGUGUUUCAGGCCGCCCGCCCCAACCGUCUCUGGCUUAGGGCCAGAAGAGGGGAAAAAAAUAUCUCACAGAGUGAGCACAUGGCCUCCUGAGCGGUAGUCUUGGCUCUCAGCGGUGGGUUUUGAACUUGAUUACAGCUGGAGGAAUUCUAAACAAUCCAAGUCUCCUUGUCAUGGUGUUUAAGUGCAUUGUGCUCCUGUCUGAACAGAGGAAAUCGCUGAGGUCAGAAAGAUGCUCUGCUUUAAAGCUGUGCUGUCCUGGCAACGCUAAGGGAUCUUCCACUUCAGGAGUGCCACGGAGCUGCUUUGUCACAAACUGGUGGAUGGUGGUAUUAUUUCUGCAUUCCUUACAUUUCUUUCUUGAGACUGGGAACAUGGAUUCUCUUGGCAAAGAUUGUGUUCUGGGAGGAUUUGUUUCACGUUAUGGUACUUCUUUAAGGAAGGCGUAG
RNAcentral lists this long non-coding RNA (710 nucleotides) under Anas platyrhynchos platyrhynchos (common mallard). Its description in RNAcentral is "lncRNA (ENSAPLG00000022250.1)". The record is from RNAcentral. Lineage: Eukaryota; Metazoa; Chordata; Aves; Anseriformes; Anatidae.